CACCCCCUUUUCACUUUGCCAAUUGGACUUUCAUGUCUUUAUUGGUCAUUCAAGUGGGGCAAAGAAAUUAUCCUUUUAAAACUCAGGCAGACUUGAGUGUUUGUCUUGUAACCUGUCAGAGGAAACAAGC
Molecule: small nucleolar RNA, 130 nt
Organism: Ochotona princeps (American pika)
Lineage: Eukaryota; Metazoa; Chordata; Mammalia; Lagomorpha; Ochotonidae
Product: small nucleolar RNA SNORA27
Exons: 1
Source: RefSeq, a predicted model, not a curated record